CAGUCGCCGCGGUAAUACGUAGGUCCCGAGCGUUGUCCGGAUUUAUUGGGCGUAAAGCGAGCGCAGGCGGUUAGAAAAGUCUGAAGUGAAAGGCAGUGGCUCAACCAUUGUAGGCUUUGGAAACUGUUUAACUUGAGUGCAGAAGGGGAGAGUGGAAUUCCAUGUGUAGCGGUGAAAUGCGUAGAUAUAUGGAGGAACACCGGUGGCGAAAGCGGCUCUCUGGUCUGUAACUGACGCUGAGGCUCGAAAGCGUGGGGAGCGAACAGGAUUAGAUACCCGCGUAGUCCCUGUCUCUUAUACA
This 301-nucleotide ribosomal RNA is filed under the name uncultured bacterium. Its description in RNAcentral is "partial 16S ribosomal RNA". It matches the Rfam family "Bacterial small subunit ribosomal RNA", at positions 509 to 808 of the family's 1533-position model. The record is from RNAcentral.